UCCAGCAGCCGCGGUAAUACGUAGGUGGCAAGCGUUAUCCGGAUUUAUUGGGCGUAAAGCGAGCGCAGGCGGUUUUUUAAGUCUGAUGUGAAAGCCCUCGGCUUAACCAGAGGAAGUGCAUCGGACAACUGGGAAACUUGAAGUCGCAGAAGAGGACAGUGGAACUCCAUGUGUAGCGGUGAAAUGCGUAGAUAUAUGGAAGAACACCAGUGGCGAAGGCGGCUGUCUGGUCUGUAACUGACGCUGAGGCUCGAAAGCAUGGGUAGCGAACAGGAUUAGAUACCCUGGUAGUCCAUGCCGUAAACGAUGAAUGCUAGGUGUUGGAGGGUUUCCGCCCUUCAGUGCCGCAGCUAACGCAUUAAGCAUUCCGCCUGGGGAGUACGACCGCAAGGUUGAAACUCAAAGGAAUUGACGGGGGCCCGCACAAGCGGUGGAGCAUGUGGUUUAAUUCGAAGCAACGCGAAGAACCUUACCAGGUCUUGACAUCUUUUGAUCACCUGAGAGAUCAGGUUUCCCCUUCGGGGGCAAAAUGACAGGUGGUGCAUGGUUGUCGUCAGCUCGUGUCGUGAGAUGUUGGGUUAAGUCCCGCAACGAGCGCAACCCUUAUGACUAGUUGCCAGCAUUUAGUUGGGCACUCUAGUAAGACUGCCGGUGACAAACCGGAGGAAGGUGGGGAUGACGUCAAAUCAUCAUGCCCCUUAUGACCUGGGCUACACACGUGCUACAAUGGAUGGUACAACGAGUUGCGAGACCGCGAGGUCAAGCUAAUCUCUUAAAGCCAUUCUCAGUUCGGACUGUAGGCUGCAACUCGCCUACACGAAGUCGGAAUCGCUAGUAAUCGCGGAUCAGCACGCCGCGGUGAAUACGUUCCCGGGCCUUGUACACACCGCCCGUCACACCAUGAGAGUUUGUAACACCCGAAGCCGGUGGCGUAACCCUUUUAGGGAGCGAGCCGUCUAAGGUGGGACAAAUGAUUAGGGUGAAGUCGUAACAAGG
RNAcentral lists this ribosomal RNA (996 nucleotides) under Lacticaseibacillus rhamnosus. RNAcentral's name for it is "bacterial SSU rRNA". It matches the Rfam family "Bacterial small subunit ribosomal RNA", at positions 507 to 1496 of the family's 1533-position model. The record is from RNAcentral. Lineage: Bacteria; Bacillati; Bacillota; Bacilli; Lactobacillales; Lactobacillaceae.